AAUUUGAAACGCACUGUCUGUGACGGCUGCUGAGGCUGCUGCGGGGGAGUGAAGGGCUGUCAUGACGAUGACCCCUGGAGCAUUGGACCUUGGGUUUGGAGCUUUCGUCUUGGAUUACUUCUCCCACCCUGUCUUGCCAGUCUGCUGACCCAGAUUUAUAGAAAUCUGCCCCCCAUCAUGCUUCAUCUCCUCUUCAAGUAAAAGUAGAUACAAGUGUUGCAGAGAUUUAGACUCAUCACGACUUGAAGAUGGAAGCUGAUGGUGUAAGCACUUGACAGCAAUGGAUCCCUUAUGAGUACUAUUUCAUGGACUUCUGGGACAGGAGUUCAAAGGUUACUUCUUUUUUGGUGACAUGCAUCUUUGAAGGAAUGUGAUUCUUGUUUGAGCAAUCUCCAUCUAAAGGCGGAGUUCACUGUAUAAAUAACAGGAAAACUUGAAACCUAAGAGUGCCUUGGCAGAAUAUGAUAUCAGAAUCAUAAUAAAGUAUUCAUGUAUUGAACGCUCUGUCCUCAUCUUGUGAGAUUACUUGAAGGCUGUGGAGUCUAUGGGAAGUGGAACUUGGUCAACAUAAAGGGGCAUAUUACGUUUGCUUCUCUCCAAAUAUUUUAAAGAACAAAACACUGUAACCCAGCACACAGUGUUCUACAGCUGGCCAAGUGCUCUGUUUACCCUGCAGUGUGAGUGAGCUCCCCUCUGUCUACAGCUCAGGAGAAAAGCAGGUGGAGGAGGAAGAGGAUGGCUGUGGCUCAGACGCUCACUUGAGCGACUUGUGGGAACUUUUACCUUUACUGAUGAUGUCCUUGUUGCAAAACCCAGACUAUAAUAAAUAAAAACAACAAAGUAUCUUAACAUCAAUUCAGACAGGUUCUUUCACUGAACUUGAAGGUGAUUGAUUAAGUUAUGUGGGCUGGUCAGUAAGCUUCAUGGAUCUUCCUAUCUCCAUCUACUACCCAGCAGUUGGAUUACAA
Molecule: non-coding RNA, 968 nt
Organism: Mus caroli (Ryukyu mouse)
Lineage: Eukaryota; Metazoa; Chordata; Mammalia; Rodentia; Muridae
Source: RefSeq, a predicted model, not a curated record